RNAcentral lists this unclassified non-coding RNA (379 nucleotides) under Hevea brasiliensis (rubber tree). The record is from RNAcentral. Lineage: Eukaryota; Viridiplantae; Streptophyta; Magnoliopsida; Malpighiales; Euphorbiaceae.
AGGGGAUAUUACAAAUGUAGCAGUGUACGAGGAUGUCCAGCAAGAAAACAUGUAGAAAGAGCAUUAGACGAUGCAGCUAUGUUGAUUGUUACAUAUGAAGGAGAACACAAUCAUUCACAUUCCAUUACAGAAACACCAGGAGCUCAUGUUCUUGAAUCUUCGUAAAUCUUAAUGAUAAAUCAAUGGCUCAGAUCUUCUUUAGAAACAUGAAGAGUAAAUCGGCACCGUCGAUCUAACGGUCAACGCCUAAAGAAAAAAAAAAGAGGCAAUAUUUGUUUAAUUUUUAUUCUCUCUAUGUACUUGUCGUUGAAAUACUUUUGAUUAUGCGUGGAAAAAAAUUUGAAAAGAAGAUAGAGAGCACAAAUUGUGGAUUUGGUGG